This 352-nucleotide unclassified non-coding RNA is filed under the name fungal sp. RNAcentral's name for it is "partial internal transcribed spacer region". The stretch from base 1 to 46 matches the Rfam family "Eukaryotic small subunit ribosomal RNA", at positions 1786 to 1831 of the family's 1831-position model. Lineage: Eukaryota; Fungi. The record is from RNAcentral.
AAGUCGUAACAAGGUUUCCGUAGGUGAACCUGCGGAAGGAUCAUUAAAACGUAUCCACGUACCAACCCAGUACGAACAGUUCCCUUUGGAUCGGAGCAAUGGUCGAUUGAGUUUGUCGUGACAAGGGCGCAAGCCUUGAACUCCGUCGGUCGUCCCUUACGGGAGCUUUGAUACUAAAGCGGUUCAUCAUUUCCAUUUCACGGGAAACAUCCAAUGUACCAAUUAUUAACCCUUUGUACCUUUUGAACUGAACUGCGAUUGCUCCUCGUUGGCUUCCACUUCGUGGAAGACACGGAGCUUUCGAUCUAUUACGAAACUCAAACAACUCUUAACAACGGAUAUCUUGGUUCUC